GUCAUAGGGCCAGAGAACAACCAGUGAUGAACCAGAGUGUGAAGAAUUCAUAAUUAUACAGGGAACUAUGCAACUGAAGGUACAAAGAACCUUGGUACAAACCUUUGACACAAAAAAAGGAAUAAAAAGAAAGAAGCCGCAUUACCUUGCGAUGUUAUCACCACCCAAUGAAAUAUGGUUCAAUCACACAUUGCUCUGGAACUGAUAGGUCACUGGAAGCAUGAUUGAUGGAUCCAAUCAAAGCAGGGGUUACUGUCUCUGUAGUUGUUGGACAAUGAAAGAGCAGAGAAAUUGAGGAGGAACAAAUGCACAAGCAAGACUAGAAGCAGAAGCAACCUCGAGGGGCUGCGAAACAGCUCCACAUGAAGAAAUAACAGCUAAAUGGUACAGGACAGCCACAGUCUAUUGUCCUUAGUGCCAUUUUCUCCAGAUGAGCAAGGAUGCUGUGUCAAACUUUUAUGCAACUGGAUCCUUCCAAAGAUCCUCUGGGGACCUGUGAGACAACUGUCCAUUCUCCACCCACAAAUGUAUUAAGGCUGUUAUCUGUGCCACAUUAUACUGUUUCAUCUUGUUUUCCUGUGAUGAGGUCAGUGUUACAACCUCAAAAGUAGGCUCUGGCAACAUGGGUUGGUUUCCCCCAGAAACAGGGAACCAGACAUUGUCAACACGAGUCAUUGAGAGGGCCAUUUCAUAAUGUAGCUGAGUUUAUCAAUAGAAAAGGAUUUCAUUCCAUCAAUGUGCAGGAUGUUUGUGAUCAUUGUUACCACAUCUGAAAAGACUAUGGGGUUAAAAACAAUGACUGCAGAUGCUGGAAACCCUUGGAUGCUGCCUGAGAAGACUAUGUCAGGUGGCCUUGGGGUUGUCAUGAUGCCCAUAUCCUUAAGAACUUUCAUGUUCCUGUUGUAUACCAAGGGCUAGAUGCCUUUUGCGAGGGUUGCUGGGAGACCACCCUCUGCGACCAUGCUUGAUGACUCCAUAUUGCAAGCCCUGACCAAGGCUGGGGUAUUGAUAAAAUACAGACCAUUCUUCACCAGGAUCAUGAAGGAGCAGCCAAUAGACAUGCAAAAGAUAAGAUUCUGAUGGCUAGAUUAGCCUGGGGACACCUUGCAUUACAGUCCAGAAACAAUAUAUAAAUGCAAUUUUUUUUAUUGGGUGAGAGGGCAACUCUGAAAUCAGUUAUCAGAUGGAGGACUGAAAACUCACA
This is a non-coding RNA of Chiloscyllium plagiosum (whitespotted bambooshark), 1204 nucleotides long. Lineage: Eukaryota; Metazoa; Chordata; Chondrichthyes; Orectolobiformes; Hemiscylliidae. The record is from RefSeq and is a predicted model, not a curated record.